This is a non-coding RNA of Benincasa hispida (wax gourd), 469 nucleotides long. NCBI's taxonomy places the organism in Eukaryota, Viridiplantae, Streptophyta, Magnoliopsida, Cucurbitales, Cucurbitaceae. The record is from RefSeq and is a predicted model, not a curated record.
ACUCUAUUCUAUUCACUCGAGGGUUUCACAUUUUAUCCAUUAGUGUCCGUAGUUCGUCUGAAGUAAAGGAGUCCGCCCUUCGUCUGAAACUGAGAAGAAGCUACACAAGUUCCUUCGAAGAUGUGUAGAUGAAGGACCGACUUUACCUUCAUCAACAACAUCAGCUUCUUCUUAAACCUCACUCAAGGCAGAACAAGGCGAUAGAGUGAUCUCCUGAGUUGGCGGUCCAAUGGUACUUCAAAGACGAACGUGCGAUGACCUUACAUAAAGGCGGUGACCUAACGUGAUAAAACGUGAGGGGAUGUGAAGUCGAUAGCAAUCAAAUCAGAAAUUCAGUUGGCGGCUGUUGAAGACCAUACCGUCGCAAAUUCAUUGAACCUUCGGUGACCAUUAGACGACGCAACAGAGUAUGGAAAUUAAUGUUAUCCAUCCAUGCAAUCAUUAAUGAGAUGAAGAACUAUUUCUGGAA